GACGAACGCUGGCGGCGUGCUUAACACAUGCAAGUCGAACGGUGAUGCUCCAGCUUGCUGGAGUGGAUCAGUGGCGAACGGGUGAGUAACACGUGAGCAACCUGCCCCUGACUCUGGAAUAAGCGCUGGAAACGGCGUCUAAUACUGGAUACGAGAAGGGUCCGCAUGGGCACUUUCUGGAAAGUUUUUCGGUUGGGGAUGGGCUCGCGGCCUAUCAGCUUGUUGGUGAGGUAAUGGCUCACCAAGGCGACGACGGGUAGCCGGCCUGAGAGGGCGACCGGCCACACUGGGACUGAGACACGGCCCAGACUCCUACGGGAGGCAGCAGUGGGGAAUAUUGCACAAUGGGCGAAAGCCUGAUGCAGCGACGCCGCGUGAGGGAUGACGGCCUUCGGGUUGUAAACCUCUUUCAGCAGGGAAGAAGCGAAAGUGACGGUACCUGCAGAAGAAGCACCGGCUAACUACGUG
Molecule: ribosomal RNA, 468 nt
Filed under: uncultured bacterium
Lineage: Bacteria
Description: partial 16S ribosomal RNA
Rfam family: Bacterial small subunit ribosomal RNA
Source: RNAcentral